Non-coding RNA from Notechis scutatus (mainland tiger snake), 873 nucleotides. NCBI's taxonomy places the organism in Eukaryota, Metazoa, Chordata, Lepidosauria, Squamata, Elapidae. The record is from RefSeq and is a predicted model, not a curated record.
CUGAGGCCGUCUGUGAUAUUUCUUAGGAAAACAGACUUUUCCAGCCUCCAUCCAGGUGCUACUCACUGUUUUGGGAUUCAGCUCAGCAGAGGCAGCAAGCCAGCGAUGCAGGGGUUAAGGCGAUUCCCUAGAAACCAGGAGACGACUCCGUUCCCCUUGUCCCCUUCUCUCUGGUUUCUGAAGUGCCUCUCUCAUUUCUAGGAAGGCUGGAAAUUACAAGGAAGGUACAUUCCUGUCUUCUUGGACACUGGAAGAAAAAUGUGACCGAAAUUAGGAAGUGGAUCCUGAAGGAGAGAAUAAUGCAGUGUACUAACCUUUUCUGUCAGAUUAAAAAAAAACUGGGAGAGGAGACCAUCCUCCCUAAGAAAAGGAGGGCAGUUUAAACCCCCACCUCCUGCAAAGUGCUUUAUGAUUUAGCUGGUGUCACAGGAAAAGCUUUUGACUCUCAAAUGCAUCCAGCUUUUUUUUUAAGUUUGCCAACUGAAUGGAAAACUAGCAAAAUAUUCUCCUUCUGCUGUCCCCAACACGGUGGUCUUGAGUUAUGAAUUCUCAGCCUUAUGGCUAUGUAGUCCCUUAAAGCCUCUGGAGGAUGUUAGGUUGAGGGGAGAGAAUUUUACAUCGCAUUUAAGUAAAUAAAACAACAGCCACGGGAAUGAGAAGAGGCCCAACCACAGUGAAGCUGUUGAUUGGUUUAAAACGAUAGAUUUGGAGGAAACUACCAAGAAAAGAUCUUCCGUAAAGCCAUUCUCAAUUCUUUGGCAUUCAAAAUUGAAAAAGCAGAGAGUGUUCAGUUUCUGUAAUUAAAAUACGAAGUGGCUUGAACACAUUAUCUGGAUAAUAUUAGUUCUGCUUCUCAUCCAAGAAACAUCGUCC